GAUGAAGAACGUAGUGAAAUGCGAUAAGUAAUGUGAAUUGCAGAAUUCAGUGAAUCAUCGAAUCUUUGAACGCGCAUUGCGCCCGCCAGUAUUCUGGCGGGCAUGCCUGUCUGAGCGUCAUUUCAACCCUCAUGCCCCUAGGGCGUGGUGUUGGGGAUCGGCCAAAGCCCGCGAGGGACGGCCGGCCCCUAAAUCUAGUGGCGGACCCGUCGUGGCCUCCUCUGCGAAGUAGUGAUAUUCCGCAUCGGAGAGCGACGAGCCCCUGCCGUUAAACCCCCAACUUUCCAAGGUUGACCUCAGAUCAGGUAGGAAUACCCGCUGAACUUAAGCAUAUCAAUAAGCGGAGGA
RNAcentral lists this unclassified non-coding RNA (348 nucleotides) under soil metagenome. RNAcentral describes it as "partial contains 5.8S ribosomal RNA, internal transcribed spacer 2, and large subunit ribosomal RNA". The stretch from base 1 to 120 matches the Rfam family "5.8S ribosomal RNA", at positions 35 to 154 of the family's 154-position model. The record is from RNAcentral.